GGCGGCUGUGCAUGGGAGGCUUCGGCCUGCC
RNAcentral lists this small RNA (31 nucleotides) under Bombyx mori (domestic silkworm). RNAcentral's name for it is "ovarian small RNA-17443". Lineage: Eukaryota; Metazoa; Arthropoda; Insecta; Lepidoptera; Bombycidae. The record is from RNAcentral.